AGGGUUCGAUCAUGGCUCAGAUUGAACGCUGGCGGCAGGCCUAACACAUGCAAGUCGAGCGCGAAAACACUUCGGUGUGAGUAGAGCGGCGGACGGGUGAGUAAUGCUUGGGAAUCUGCCCAGUAGUGGGGGAUAACCUGUGGAAACGCAGGCUAAUACCGCAUACGUCCUACGGGAGAAAGCAGGGGAUCUUCGGACCUUGCGCUAUUGGAUGAGCCCAAGUCGGAUUAGCUUGUUGGUAGGGUAAUGGCCUACCAAGGCAACGAUCCGUAGCUGGUCUGAGAGGAUGAUCAGCCACACUGGGACUGAGACACGGCCCAGACUCCUACGGGAGGCAGCAGUGGGGAAUAUUGCACAAUGGGCGAAAGCCUGAUGCAGCCAUGCCGCGUGUGUGAAGAAGGCUCUAGGGUUGUAAAGCACUUUCAGUAGGGAGGAAAAGUUAACGAUUAAUACUCGUUAGCCUUGACGUUACCUACAGAAGAAGCACCGGCAAACUCCGUGCCAGCCGCCGCGGUAAUAC
Molecule: ribosomal RNA, 520 nt
Filed under: uncultured bacterium
Lineage: Bacteria
Description: bacterial SSU rRNA
Rfam family: Bacterial small subunit ribosomal RNA
Source: RNAcentral